UACGGAGGAUGCGAGCGUUAUCCGGAUUUAUUGGGUUUAAAGGGUGCGCAGGCGGCACGGCAAGCCGGCGGUCAAAUCGCGGGGCUCAACCCCGCCCGGCCGUCGGAACUGCCGGGCUAGAGUGGGCGAGAAGUGCGCGGAAUGCGUGGUGUAGCGGUGAGAUGCAUAGAUAUCACGCAGAACUCCGAUUGCGAAGGCAGCGCACCGGCGCCCUACUGACGCUCAGGCACGAAAGCGUGGGUAUCGAACAGG
RNAcentral lists this ribosomal RNA (252 nucleotides) under uncultured bacterium. RNAcentral's name for it is "partial 16S ribosomal RNA". It matches the Rfam family "Bacterial small subunit ribosomal RNA", at positions 524 to 776 of the family's 1533-position model. The record is from RNAcentral.